RNAcentral lists this long non-coding RNA (399 nucleotides) under Brachypodium distachyon (stiff brome). Its description in RNAcentral is "long non-coding RNA (BDIS_LNC001762)". The record is from RNAcentral. Lineage: Eukaryota; Viridiplantae; Streptophyta; Magnoliopsida; Poales; Poaceae.
GCUCAACUGUCAUGUACUGCACCCACCAUUAUAGCCACAAACGUGUCCCCACUUUUUCUUAAUUCUCUGCCUUAAUCCUAAUCCUCUGCCAUGUACUGCACCUCCGCCGGAUUCCCCACGCUGCCCCCUUACUUUGCCUAGUUUCCCCACUCCAUCUCUCUCAUCUCUCCACUGUUCUUUUUUUUUCUCUCCCUCACGCAUGCUCAUCCCUCUACUCCAGGCGCAAGAUCUCCGGCUGUAAAUAUUGAUUGGCCGGGCGACUCCUUGUCAUGCAGGGCUCUGAAAGGGCAUUUCGAUCCCUAAUGAGUUUUGGUGUUAAUGACAACAUGACAUGUAGAUUGACUGUGUGCUAAGUAUUUUCAGAAGUUAUAUAGAAUCAAGUGAAACGGUUUGUAGCCC